This 331-nucleotide ribosomal RNA is filed under the name Veillonella sp. oral taxon E70. Its description in RNAcentral is "bacterial SSU rRNA". It matches the Rfam family "Bacterial small subunit ribosomal RNA", at positions 137 to 464 of the family's 1533-position model. The record is from RNAcentral. Lineage: Bacteria; Bacillati; Bacillota; Negativicutes; Veillonellales; Veillonellaceae.
ACUGCUAAUACCCGCAUCCGGUGCUAAUCUCGGCAUCCGAGGAUAGAUGAAAAGGUGGCCUCUGCAUGUAAGGCUAUACACUGAAGGAGGGGACUGCGUCUGAUUAGCUAGUUGGAGGGGUAACGGCCCGCCAAGGCGAUGAUCAGUAGCCGGUCUGAGAGGAUGAACGGCCACAUUGGGACUGAGACACGGCCCAGACUCCUACGGGAGGCAGCAGUGGGGAAUCUUCCGCAAUGGACGAAAGUCUGACGGAGCAACGCCGCGUGAGUCUUGACGGCCUUCGGGUUGUAAAGCUCUGUUUGUCGGGACGGAAGGCCUUCUUGCGAAUUUU